UGGGGAAUAUUGCACAAUGGAGGGAACUCUGAUGCAGCGACGCCGCGUGAGUGAUGAAGGAAUUCGUUUCGUAAAACUCUGUUCUAUGGGAAGAAAAGGAGUGUACCAUAGGAGAAAGCUCCGGCUAAAUACGUGCCAGCAGCCGCGGUAAUACGUAUGGAGCGAGCGUUGUCCGGAAUUAUUGGGCGUAAAGGGUGCGCAGGCGGCUUUACAAGUUGGAUGUGAAAUAUUGUGGCUCAACCACAAACGUGCAUCCAAAACUGCAAAGCUUGAGUUAAGGAGAGGUAAGUGGAAUUCCUGGUGUAGCGGUGGAAUGCGUAGAUAUCAGGAGGAAUACCGGUGGCGAAGGCGACUUACUGGACUUAAACUGACGCUCAGGCACGAAAGCGUGGGGAGCAAACAGG
This 404-nucleotide ribosomal RNA is filed under the name Fusobacteriota bacterium. RNAcentral describes it as "Fusobacteria bacterium partial 16S ribosomal RNA". It matches the Rfam family "Bacterial small subunit ribosomal RNA", at positions 355 to 776 of the family's 1533-position model. Lineage: Bacteria; Fusobacteriati; Fusobacteriota. The record is from RNAcentral.